GCCUGCGCAUAACCCUAGAUAGUCACUUCCGACACCACUAUCCGCCAGAAAACUACUAGGCGAAAAGCCCGAAACUCAAAGGACUUGACGGUGUUCCUUACCCCCUAGAGGAGCCUGUCCUAUAACCGAUAAUCCACGAUCUACCUUACUACCCCUAGCACAACACAGCCUAUAUACCGCCGUCGCCAGCUCACCCCAUGAGGGAAAAGUGAACACAAUGGGGCCCCCCCCCAACGUCAGGUCAAGGUGUAGCUCAUGGGGGAGCAGAGAUGGGCUACAUUUUCUACCACUAGAACACCACCAAACUGACAUGAAACCUGGCACAAAAAGGAGAGAUUUAGCAGUAACUAUCAAGCAAGAAAUGCUUACUUGAAGCACCCCCAGGAACGCGU
RNAcentral lists this ribosomal RNA (392 nucleotides) under Gehyra mutilata (stump-toed gecko). RNAcentral's name for it is "partial 12S ribosomal RNA". The record is from RNAcentral. Lineage: Eukaryota; Metazoa; Chordata; Lepidosauria; Squamata; Gekkonidae.